Molecule: non-coding RNA, 63 nt
Organism: Bombyx mori (domestic silkworm)
Lineage: Eukaryota; Metazoa; Arthropoda; Insecta; Lepidoptera; Bombycidae
Source: Rfam
ACGACAUGUGGACGACGUCGGUCUACUGAGCAUUCGCUCGGUGGAAGAUCUUUCCUUUGUCGU